UAAACAAAUUUGUACUGUGAAACUGCGAAUGGCUCAUUAAAUCAGUUAUAGUUUAUUUGAUGAUACCUUGCUACAUGGAUAACUGUGGUAAUUCUAGAGCUAAUACAUGCGUCAAAGCCGCGACUUCUGGAAGCGGUGUAUUUAUUAGAUAAAAAACCAACGCGGUUCGCCGCUCCCUUGGUGAUUCAUAAUAACUUCUCGAAUCGCAUGGCCUUGCGCCGGCGAUGCUUCAUUCAAAUAUCUGCCCUAUCAAGUUUAGAUGGUAGGAUAGAGGCCUACCAUGCUUUCAACGGGUAACGGGGAAUAAGGGUUCGAUUCCGGAGAGGGAGCCUGAGAAACGGCUACCACAUCCAAGGAAGGCAGCAGGCGCGCAAAUUACCCAAUCCCGACACGGGGAGGUAGUGACAAUAAAUAACAAUAUGGGGCUCAUACGGGUCCCAUAAUUGGAAUGAGUACAAUUUAAAUCCCUUAACGAGGAACAAUUGGAGGGCAAGUCUGGUGCCAGCAGCCGCGGUAAUUCCAGCUCCAAUAGCGUAUAUUAAAGUUGUUGCCGUUAAAAAGCUCGUAGUUGAACUUUCAUGGGCUCACGCGGUCUGCCUCACGGCAAGUACUGUGUGGGCUCGUGCUCCUGGGUGGUGAGCCGCCAUGUCGUUUACUCGGUGUGGCGGGGAACCACCUCUGUUACCUUGAGAAAAUUAGAGUGUUCAAAGCAGGCCAAUGCCCGAAGAUAUUAGCAUGGAAUAACGAAAUAGGACGUGCGGUUCUAUUUUGUUGGUUUCUAGAGUCGCCGUAAUGAUUGAUAGGGAUAGUUGGGGGCAUUAGUAUUCAGUUGGAGAGGUGAAAUUCUUGGAUUUACUGAAGACUAACACUGCGAAAGCAUUUGCCAAGGAUGUUUUCAUUAAUCAAGAACGAAGGUUAGGGGAUCGAAAACGAUCAGAUACCGUUGUAGUCUUAACAGUAAACUAUGCCGACUAGGGAUCGGACGAACUCAUUUUUAUGUGUCGUUCGGCACCUUACGAGAAAUCAAAGUUUUUGGGUUCGGGGGCGAGUAUGGUCGCAAGGCUGAAACUUAAAGGAAUGACGGAAGGCACCACCUGACAUGG
Molecule: ribosomal RNA, 1103 nt
Filed under: Geastrum cf. triplex A KH-2011
Lineage: Eukaryota; Fungi; Basidiomycota; Agaricomycetes; Geastrales; Geastraceae
Description: SSU rRNA
Rfam family: Eukaryotic small subunit ribosomal RNA
Source: RNAcentral